RNAcentral lists this unclassified non-coding RNA (1625 nucleotides) under Drosophila erecta. RNAcentral describes it as "GG25110". Lineage: Eukaryota; Metazoa; Arthropoda; Insecta; Diptera; Drosophilidae. The record is from RNAcentral.
CUUACAUCACUAAAACUUUUGCAAGAUGGAGCCUCUUUUGCUUGGUUUUAACAAAUCAGUAGCAGCACGUGUAUAAAAAGUGCCAAAUAAUUUUCAGAAAAUGGAUGACCGAAGUGAGAUACCUCAGGAUGGCCCCGCCGGCAUGGAACCCGAGGGCGUCAUCGAGUCCACCUGGCACGAGGUGUACGACAACUUCGAUGACAUGAACUUGCGCGAGGAGCUGCUGCGCGGCAUCUACGGUUACGGUUUCGAGAAGCCGUCGGCCAUCCAGCAGCGCGCCAUCAUUCCCUGUGUGAAGGGUCGCGAUGUCAUUGCCCAGGCCCAGUCGGGAACUGGCAAGACUGCCACCUUCUCGAUUGCUAUCCUUCAGCAAAUCGACACGUCCAUUCGCGAGUGCCAGGCGCUGAUCCUGGCCCCAACUCGCGAGUUGGCCACGCAGAUCCAGCGCGUGGUGAUGGCGCUCGGCGAGUACAUGAAGGUGCACUCGCACGCCUGCAUUGGCGGCACCAACGUGCGCGAAGAUGCCCGCAUCCUGGAAUCCGGUUGCCAUGUGGUGGUCGGCACUCCUGGUCGCGUCUACGACAUGAUCAACCGCAAGGUGCUGCGCACCCAGUACAUCAAGCUGUUCGUGCUGGAUGAGGCCGACGAAAUGUUGUCCCGCGGUUUCAAGGAUCAGAUCCAGGACGUCUUCAAGAUGCUGCCCCCAGAUGUGCAGGUCAUCCUGCUGUCCGCCACCAUGCCGCCGGAUGUGCUCGAAGUGAGCCGUUGCUUCAUGCGCGAGCCCGUUAGCAUCCUGGUGAAGAAGGAGGAACUGACCCUCGAGGGUAUUAAGCAGUUCUACGUCAACGUGAAGCAGGAGAACUGGAAACUGGGCACCCUUUGCGAUCUGUACGAUACGCUGUCCAUCACCCAAUCGGUUAUCUUCUGCAACACCCGUCGCAAGGUGGACCAGCUGACCCAGGAGAUGUCUAUUCACAACUUCACCGUCUCGGCCAUGCACGGCGACAUGGAGCAGCGUGAUCGCGAGGUCAUCAUGAAACAAUUCCGUUCGGGCUCGUCUCGUGUUCUGAUUACCACUGAUUUACUGGCGCGUGGUAUUGAUGUGCAGCAGGUGUCGUUGGUCAUCAACUAUGAUCUGCCCUCGAACCGCGAGAACUACAUUCAUAGAAUCGGUCGCGGUGGUCGUUUCGGUCGCAAGGGUGUUGCGAUCAACUUCAUUACAGAUGAUGAUCGACGAAUCCUUAAGGAUAUUGAACAGUUCUACCACACAACUAUUGAGGAAAUGCCUGCUAAUAUUGCCGAUUUGAUUUAAAUUUUUUCUGCUGAGCCGCAAAACAACUAAGAAAGAAUUCUAAACAAAAAGCAGCCGACCGACCACCCAAGAAAAAGGACUAAACCAGGACAGAGCAGCAACAUCUUCCGCAGCGGCGCAGCAGCAGCAGCAACAACAUCAGCAGCAGCGGAAGCGGCAGCAACAACACCUAGCUACAGCUUACCAAAUAUCGCCGAUUAGCCGGAACCCUCUGUAUCCAUUUAGUUCUCUGUGUAUCAUCAAUUUUAAAACUGCGUCGUCAACCAGCAACAACAAAUAUAUACAAAUAUAAAAAAAAAAAAAAACAACAAAA